UACAGAGGGUGCAAACGUUGUUCGGAAUUACUGGGCGUAAAGCGUGCGUAGACGGCUAUCUAAGUCGGGUGUGAAAGCCCCGGGCUCAACCUGGGAAUUGCAUUCGAGACUGAAUAGCUAGGGUACGGUAGAGGGAAGCGGAAUUUCCGGUGUAGCGGUGAAAUGCGUAGAUAUCGGAAGGAACACCAGUGGCGAAGGCGGCUCACUGGUCCGGUUCUGACGCUGAGGCGCGAAAGCGUGGGGAGCAAACAGG
This 253-nucleotide ribosomal RNA is filed under the name uncultured bacterium. RNAcentral's name for it is "partial 16S ribosomal RNA". It matches the Rfam family "Bacterial small subunit ribosomal RNA", at positions 524 to 776 of the family's 1533-position model. The record is from RNAcentral.